RNAcentral lists this small RNA (3989 nucleotides) under Pan troglodytes (chimpanzee). Its description in RNAcentral is "retained intron". Lineage: Eukaryota; Metazoa; Chordata; Mammalia; Primates; Hominidae. The record is from RNAcentral.
UCUUUCUGGUCAAAAUGGCUGGCAAGCAGGCUGGUAAGUAACUGGGGGUCUUCUUGGCCGGCAUCGUCGCGCUUCACCGUUUAUUUUUGCUGCAGCUUGCUACGUUUUCUCUCUUCUUUGUAAGUGGCCAAGUUUGUCGCGGAAGGGAAAUUGGCUGCUUCAGUCCAGCGCAAAGGAUGUGCUUCCCCACUCGUUUGCUGUCCCCAGGGCGGGCUUGCCUGUAUAGGGUUGGGAUGUUAACCCGCUGUUUGUGAAGGUGCCCGCGGUGGCUCUGACAGCCCUGGAGUUCCAGCUGCCUGUGCUCGGAAGUCCUUCCCCUUGGCCUUAGAAAAGUUAAAGGGCACAAGAGGAUAACUAGUGGAUGACUUUCAACCCGAAUGAGCUCAGUGCUUUCUAUGACCCAAGUGCUCUAUCGUGUGCAUUGGCCCUAUAAAUUUUCUUGCCAUUGCGACGAGGGAGAUAUUAAUUUCCCUUUUACGCUGAUAAGAUAACUGAGGCAAAGUGACCCAAGGAAGUAGAAUUGGAAAUAUCAUUGCACCCCUCGCGCUUCUCAAACUGCGAAUCAGAGACAGUUGAGCAAGGGAUACGAGCGACGCCUCAGGUUGACCUUGGAUUAUCUAGAGCGUCAGCUUGAUCAGUAGGUUUGGAGAAAUUUGAAUUUAUUGUAGGUUCUUUUUUUCUUUUUUCUUUCUUUUUUUUUUUUUGCUAAUCUCUGCCCUCUGGCGGUACAAGUUGGAGUAGCCGUUUUGUUUGUUUGUUUGUUUGUUUGUUUGUUUGUUUUGUCUUUGAGACGGAGUCUUGCUUUGUCGCCCAGGCUGGAGUGCAAUGGCACAAUCUCGUCUCACUGCAAUGCAACCAAGUUGGAGUAGCUUUUAAAAAAUGUUGAUCCUUUUCUCCCCGCCCCCAGCAAUUGUGAAGCUGUUAGGAAACAUCAGGUUGCCAGAAACAUCCGUUAACCUAAUUGACAUUGAGCUUUUUGGGGGUGGGGGAGACUUUUUAAAUAAUUAUUUUAUUAAUUUGGCAGAUAUUGAAGGAGUCUUACUAAAUUCAAGACACUGCUUCUUUGCGUGUUUGGGAACUACAUAGACCAGAUCUCAACUCCCAUUAGCUAACUCUGACCUUGGGUGGGGUCACUUCUGUAAGCCAGCUUCCCCUUCUGUAGUAAUAGACAUGUAAAUAAAUCAGCUAAUGUUGGUAAAGCAAAUAGGAAAGUGUUUGGUGCACAAUAAGUGCUUAGUGAAUAUUAUUAUAGUCACUGAUAGGUGGUUGAAAUGGUUGAAAAUAAUCUGUUUUCCACAAGUAUGUUUGUAGAUUGUUGACUGAUACUUGUUUUUCUAGCAGCAGUUUUAUACAUGACUCUUAAUUUCCAAGGAGAUUUGCUAAAGCCACGUAAUCUGUAGUGCACUGAGUUUGCAAGCAAGGAGAGUUGAGUGAAAGGAGAGUUUGCUUUCCUUCCUUGGUAAGGGCUAACCCUAGACAAAAUUUUAAAAGAGAAUACAAACUUGUUCUACCUCUCCUUUUGUAAAAUGUCUCUCCUAAAAUGUCAGAUACGGUCCUGCUGUACUUGGACCCUGCUGGGUUACUUAUCAGGCUCAGCCCUGUUCCCCAGUUUUAAAAUUACCUAUUUCUCAUCCGUUUUCAAUAUCCAUUCCCUUGGGGGGAACUUAGUUGCUUAGGAGGAGGUAAAUGGACUUCUUUUACGAAUCCAUAUUAAUGUUUAAAUGACUAAUGGUAUCAAAAUCCUCCCCAAAAUACAUACAUUUUUAAAGAAUGUGGCCAAAUGAAAUAACUGUAAUAUCGAGUGAAAAUUUUAGAGGAUGAGGGUCAUUUAGACCUGCCAGUCUAUGCUGAAAUCUCACUGUCUUUUCCCUACAACUCCAGCUCUCUUGAAAUGAAAAGUUUACAAUUAUUUCCUGUGAUCUAUUUAUGAAAUUACAAAUGAUAGAAAUUUCCAAGUCCUUUUCCUAUCUCCCACCCCUUCAUUUCUGAACGUAACAGGGCAGGCAUAAGGGCACACGAUGUACCUAUGGAUCUUUUGUACAUUCAGUGUUUGAGUUUACCCUUUUCUGUCAUGACUUGCCACCAUUUUCCUGCAACCACUUUUGCUCAUAAAUAAGCACUUUUUAUCAACACUUUAUAGAGUAUAAACUUUUUUCUUUUAAAUCUAAUUCUUUUUUGAUUAAAUUCUUGCUGUAUAUACUAUAUACUUUUAAAAGGAAAUUUAUUUCUAUGUUUGCAUUCAUCAGCAAGAUAACUGAGUACUGGUUGCUUGCCUAUCAAUGUGUUCAUAUAGUAUAAUUAAAUUGUAGCAAUUAACAGUGUGACAAUUAUCAGUUUCAGCAUCAGGCAAGUGGCUGGAUGGUAUUCGAAAAUGGUAUUACAAUGCUGCAGGAUUCAAUAAACUGGGUAAGCAGCUGUGCUGUUUAAUAUUUGUUGUUGUUGUUGUUGUUUCUUUGUUUUUUUAAUUUUUCUGAGAGUAUUGCUUUUGCAAGUGUUACUGUGGUUCCAAAAACCAUUUCAAUUCUUGUAUACAUCAGAAGAUUUUAAAAUUAAAUCACAUUAUGUUAAAUCCAGUUCCUUUUUAAAGUUUUUUUGAGAGAAGAGGGAUGAAAGCCUCUAAAAUGUUCGACUUGGUAAUGAUUUAAGUAGUAAGACAUUUUCCUUCUACACCCCCUUUCCCAACUCUUCCACUUAAAAUUUUAUUUAUUUAUUUAUUUAUUUAUUUAUUUGAGACGGAGUCUUGCUCUGUCACCAGGCUGGAGUGCAGUGGCGCAGUCACGGUUCACUGCAACCUCCACCUCCCAAGUUCAAGUGAUUCUCCUGCCUCAGCCUCCUGAGUAGCUGGGAUUACAGGCAUGUGCCACCAAGCCCGGCUAAUUUUUUUUGUAUGUAGUAGAGACGGGGUUUCACCAUAUUAGGCUGGUCGCAAACUCCUGACCUCAGGUGAUCCACCUGCCUCGGCCUUCCAAAGUGCUGGGAUUAUAGGUGUGCACUACUGCGCCCAGACUUCCACUUAAAAUUUUAAUUUAAAUUAUAUAAACAUUGAAAGUAGAGAGUUUUCGAAUAUUAAAAUUUUAUCACGUCCAUGCAAUCAUAUGAUUCCUAAGCUUUUUUAGAACUUUGUAAUUUACCAUGAACUUCAUCUUUUGCUAUUGAAGCUUGAAGAAAGUGUAAGCAAAAGUCACUAUUCCUUAGUAUGCUAUCAUUUUAAGAUUCUUUAAUACCUUGAUCUCAGAUUUAAACUGAGAAGAGAUGUGGUUUUUUAAUGUGUGUUUAAAAACAAAGUAAACAUUUAAAAUAUUUUGUAAAUGGUUUAGAUAAAAUAUGAAUUUUGUGGCGUUGGAUUUUAAGAGGCUCAUAUAUUGUUUCCAUAGUCUAGUUCAAGAAGUAACCCAUUAUAUCAAGUAAUAACUCAUUACUUUUAAUGGCAAAACUGCAAUUACUUUUGCACCAACCUAAUAAUGUACGAAAUGCAUUGAAUUUCCAUUGAACCUAGUGAUUUGAAUUCGAUAGUUCACCAAAAGUUGUAAGUUAUAAGUUAUAAGUCAUAAAGAUAUUUUACUAAUUUAAAAAAAAACGCGAUUUUUGAGAUGCAUGUGCAAUCUAACUUUGUCGUCUAUCAUAGGGUUAAUGCGAGAUGAUACAAUAUACGAGGAUGAAGAUGUAAAAGAAGCCAUAAGAAGGCUUCCUGAGAACCUUUAUAAUGACAGGAUGUUUCGCAUUAAGAGGGCACUGGACCUGAACUUGAAGCAUCAGAUCUUGCCUAAAGAGCAGUGGACCAAAUAUGAAGAGGAAAAUUUCUACCUUGAACCGUAUCUGAAAGAGGUUAUUCGGGAAAGAAAAGAAAGAGAAGAAUGGGCAAAGAAGUAAUCAUGUAGUUGAAGUCUGUGGAUGCAGCUGUUAUGAAGAUGGUUAAACUUGAAACAAACAAUUUUAAGAAUUAUUUGGUCUGCAGAUGUUUUACUUUAAAUAAAUGUCUAUUGUAAUGG